ACGGAGGGUGCGAGCGUUGUUCGAAAUUACUGGGCUUAAAGCGCGUGUAGGCGGGAAGGCAAGUGUCGGGUGAAAUCCCUCGGCUCAACCGAGGAACCGUCCGGCAAACUGCUUUUCUUGAGGCAGGGAGAGGUGACUGGAACGACGGGUGGAGCGGUGAAAUGCGUAGAUAUCCGUUGGAACGCCGGAGGCGAAAGCGGGUCGCUGGCCCUGUCCUGACGCUGAGACGCGAAAGCGUGGGGAGCGAACAGGAUUAGAUACCCUGGUAGUCCACGCCGUAAACGAUGCGCACUAGGUAUGGGGGGCUCUCACGCCAACCGUGCCGUAGAAAAAUUGAUAAGUGCGCCGCCUGGGGAGUACGGCCGCAAGGCUA
This 373-nucleotide ribosomal RNA is filed under the name uncultured bacterium. RNAcentral's name for it is "bacterial SSU rRNA". It matches the Rfam family "Bacterial small subunit ribosomal RNA", at positions 525 to 896 of the family's 1533-position model. The record is from RNAcentral.